GACGAACGCUGGCGGCGUGCUUAACACAUGCAAGUCGAACGGAAAGGCCCUGCUUUUGUGGGGUGCUCGAGUGGCGAACGGGUGAGUAACACGUGAGUAACCUGCCCUUGAUUUUGGGCUAACUUCAGGAAAAUGGGGCUUAUACCGGAUAGGAGCUCCUGCUGCAAGCUGUGGGUUGGAAAGUUUCGGCGGUUGGGGAUGGACUCGCGGCUUAUCAGCUUGUUGGUGGGGUCGUGUCUUACCAAGGCUUUGACGGGUAGCCGGCCUGAGAGGGUGAGCGGCCACAGUGGGACUGAGAUACGGCCCAGACUCCUACGGCAGGCAGCAGUGGGGAAGAUUGCACAAUGGGCGGAAGCCUGAUGCAGCAACGCCGCGUGCGGGAUGACGGCCUUCGGGUUGUAAACCGCUUUCGCCUGUGACGAAGCGUGAGUGACGGUAAUGGGUAAAGAAGCACCGGCUAACUACGUG
Molecule: ribosomal RNA, 468 nt
Filed under: uncultured bacterium
Lineage: Bacteria
Description: partial 16S ribosomal RNA
Rfam family: Bacterial small subunit ribosomal RNA
Source: RNAcentral